This 496-nucleotide ribosomal RNA is filed under the name uncultured Streptococcus sp. RNAcentral's name for it is "bacterial SSU rRNA". It matches the Rfam family "Bacterial small subunit ribosomal RNA", at positions 28 to 508 of the family's 1533-position model. Lineage: Bacteria; Bacillati; Bacillota; Bacilli; Lactobacillales; Streptococcaceae. The record is from RNAcentral.
GACGAACGCUGGCGGCGUGCCUAAUACAUACAAGUAGAACGCUGAAGGAGGAGCUUGCUUCUCUGGAUGAGUUGCGAACGGGUGAGUAACGCGUAGGUAACCUGCCUGGUAGCGGGGGAUAACUAUUGGAAACGAUAGCUAAUACCGCAUAAUAGUAGAUGUUGCAUGACAUUUGCUUAAAAGGUGUAAUUGCAUCACUACCAGAUGAACCUGCGUUGUAUUAGCUAGUUGGUGGGGUAACGGCUCACCAAGGCGACGAUACAUAGCCGACCUGAGAGGGUGAUCGGCCACACUGGGACUGAGACACGGCCCAGACUCCUACGGGAGGCAGCAGUAGGGAAUCUUCGGCAAUGGACGGAAGUCUGACCGAGCAACGCCGCGUGAGUGAAAAAGGUUUUCGGAUCGUAAAGCUCUGUUGUAAGAGAAGAACGAGUGUGAGAGUGGAAAGUUCACACUGUGACGGUAUCUUACCAGAAAGGGACGGCUAACUACGUGC